GACGUAGGGCGCGAGCGUUGUCCGGAUUUAUUGGGCGUAAAGAGCUCGUAGGCGGCUUGUUGCGUCAGCUGUGAAAACCCGCAGCUCAACUGUGGGCUUGCAGCUGAUACGGGCAGGCUUGAGUUCGGUAGGGGAGACUGGAAUUCCUGGUGUAGCGGUGAAAUGCGCAGAUAUCUGGAGGAACACCGGUGGCGAAGGCGGCAUCCUGGACCGGCAUUGACGCUGAGGAGCGAAAGCCAGGGGAGCAAACGGG
RNAcentral lists this ribosomal RNA (253 nucleotides) under uncultured bacterium. Its description in RNAcentral is "partial 16S ribosomal RNA". It matches the Rfam family "Bacterial small subunit ribosomal RNA", at positions 524 to 776 of the family's 1533-position model. The record is from RNAcentral.